Molecule: RNA transcript, 1745 nt
Organism: Phragmites australis (common reed)
Lineage: Eukaryota; Viridiplantae; Streptophyta; Magnoliopsida; Poales; Poaceae
Exons: 11
Source: RefSeq, a predicted model, not a curated record
CUCGAAACCCCAGGCCGCCGGUCGCUUGCUUCGCCGGAGGAGGGGAGAGAGCGCGAUGGCAGCGGCGGAGGUAGCGACCGCGAACCUGUACGCCGUGGAGAGCGACGCUGCGGCGGCGGAGGAGGAGGAGGAGGAGGGGGAGAGGGCGGCAGCGGCGGCGGAGUACUCGUGGCCGCAGCUCCGCUUCGACCACCCGCCUCGCCGGCUUUACCACUUCGCCCGCCAGUUCCACUCCACCGAUCCCGCUGGCGGCGGCGGCGGCGAGAACUUCCUCAAGGGAGUCGAGUGGUCGCCCGACGGCUCCUCCUUCCUCACCAACUCCGACGACAACUCUCUUCGCUUGUUCUACCUGCCGGAGGGCGCGUACGGUGCUGCGGAGCACAUUGCCGGUGCUGCCGUCGGAGGUGAAGAUUCUUAUGGCGCAUACCUCCAGGUGAACGAGGGUGAACCCGUGUACGACAUCUGCUGGUACCCGUACAUGUCCGUGUCUGACCCAGCUACCUGUGUAUUUGCGAGCACCAGUCGUGAUCAUCCGAUACACCUCUGGGAUGCCACCACUGGGGAGCUUCGGUGCACUUACAGAGCAUAUGAUGCCAUGGAUGAGAUAACGGCUGCACUUUCAGUUUCAUUCAAUUCUACCGGAGCUAAGCUCUUUGCUGGAUACAACAAAGCAAUUAGAGUAUUUGAUGUUCAUCGGCCUGGUAGAGAUUUUGAGCAGUAUUCUUUGCUUAAGGGAGGUGAAGGACCAACUGGUAUAAUAUCUUCAAUUUCCUUCUCUCCACACAAUGGGAUGCUUGCUGUUGGCUCUUACAGCCAGACAACUGCUGUGUAUGCAGAGAGUAAUAUGGAGCCUUUGUAUGUCUUACAUGGCCAGCUCGGUGGUGUUACACAGGUACUUUUUUCAAAAGAUGGGAACUAUUUGUAUACUGGAGGGCGCAAGGAUCCAUACAUAUUAUGUUGGGAUAUUCGCAAUACUGUGGACAUUGUUUACAAGUCUUUCCGUAGCUUUAGUGACAACUUUUGUUGUCUUGCUACUCGUCAUCGCUCUGUUGUGAUUCUUGACCAAGGGUGUUCUUUUGUUUUCAUCAUCACGACUCUACCCAUGUGCUUCGCUUUACACUUCUUCGGCUUGAUUCAACAAGAUUACCAAGGCUCCACUCUAUGAUGUCUUUGAAGAGUAAGUUUAGUACUUAGUAUCCACUCUUUCAAAUGCAACGCUAUUGCAUACGCCUUGCAUUUGAGGGGGUGUUAGGAAUAUAGAGUCCUUAUCCUUUACGAAUAGAUUAUUAGAACCAUUUCCAUAUACUCUCUCAUGUACUCUAUAUAUUACCCUAUUGGGGCCAUCAUCGAAUACAUGUUGCUAUUCCUAACAUCCCCUUGCCUUCACAAUUCGAAGCAAGCCUGUCCAUGUAUUGGUCGUCUUACUCUAGCAAUCUUUCAAUGUCUAUACCAAUCCGGUAUAUUGGACAUCAUCAGUUAAUAAGUAGAACGGUUCUACUAUUGGUGCAAUUUUGUUGGGGUUUUUGAAGUAGAAUUAUGUUCUGAUUUUAUGCAAGCUUCUUGUAUGUCUUUUUUUUGGAUUCCCAUUAUCAGGUUGUACAGAUCAGCUGAUACUACUAAUCAAAGAAUUUAUUUUGACAUUGAGCCUUGUGGUAGGCAUUUAGCCACUGGUGGCCAGGAUGGCAUGGUCCAUGUAUAUGACCUUCAAGGUGGUCAAUGGUUAACAGCCUUCCAAGCAGCAGCUG